RNAcentral lists this ribosomal RNA (401 nucleotides) under uncultured bacterium. RNAcentral describes it as "partial 16S ribosomal RNA". It matches the Rfam family "Bacterial small subunit ribosomal RNA", at positions 360 to 776 of the family's 1533-position model. The record is from RNAcentral.
AAUAUUGCACAAUGGGCGCAAGCCUGAUGCAGCGACGCCGCGUGAGCGAAGAAGGUUUUCGGAUCGUAAAGCUCUGUCCUCUGGGAAGAAAAAAAUGACGGUACCAGAGGAGGAAGCCCCGGCUAACUACGUGCCAGCAGCCGCGGGAAUACGUAGGGGGCUAGCGUUCUCCGGAUUUACUGGGUGUAAAGGGUGAGUAGGCGGUAACGUUUUGUAAGUUGUUAAUCUAUGGGGCCAAACCAUAACAGCAUUUGGAACUUCGGAACUUGGGGGGAGGAGGGGUAAGGGGAAUUCCUAGUGGAGCGGUGGAAUGCGGAGAUAAUAGGAGGAACACCAGUGGCGAAGGCGACUUAAUGGACUGGAACUGAAGCUGAGGCACCAAAGCGUGGGGGGCAAACAGG